Molecule: long non-coding RNA, 2553 nt
Filed under: Equus asinus (donkey)
Lineage: Eukaryota; Metazoa; Chordata; Mammalia; Perissodactyla; Equidae
Description: lncRNA (ENSEASG00005031596.1)
Source: RNAcentral
GCCACGAAAGAAUAUAUAAUGGGACAAUUCUGAUGGUGAGGGGAGAGCCAUGGACAGGGAAGACCACUUAGGUGAAGUGACAUUUAUGCUGACACCUGAAAACGAGUAAAGUUAGCUAGAUAACAGCUGAUAGGAAGAGGACUGGAAGUAGAGAACUAAACUUCAAGUCCAGCGCGGCUGGAGGGUAGUGGUGCACAGCGGGAGCGGUUGAGAUCAAGCUGGAGGAGUGCAGCAGCGGGAUAACACAGAGCUUUUUAAAUUACGGGCACAUUUGAGUCUUGGGGUUAGCUGCAAUGAACAUCUCAUGGCAUUUCUCAUCUGUACCCUUGAUUAAGGAUUCUACUGUCGGCUAAAGAAUUUUAGGAGAAUACUACCUUUAUCUGCUUGAUUCCUGGACUUUUAUAAUUCAGAAUCAGGAGGCUGUUAGAAAGGAACAGCACCGGUGAGACAGGAAAAGGGCUACACACUUUCCUGAGGUGAUGAAGCGGUCAGCCUGAUUGAACAUGCAAUAAUGGAAAAGAGAAAAGAAAUAUAAGCUGAUACUCGAAGAGUCCAGCCCGUGUCAACUGAGGUCACAUUGUGAUCAGCCCCGAGCUAACUACUGCCAAUCGUCCUCUUUCUGCCCAAGAAGACUGGCCCUGAGCUAACAUCCAUGCCCAUCUUCCUCUACUUUAUACGUGGGACGCCUACCACAACAUGGCUUGCCAAGCGGUGCAAUGUCUGCACUGGGGAUCCGAACCUGCGAACCCGGGCUGCCCAGAAGCGGACGUGCGAACUUAACCACUGCGCCACCGGGCCAGACCCAUGGCAUUUUCUUUUUAAUUGUGAUUUCUUCUCGUUUGCUGCAUGCCCCUUUCCGUCUCAGGCUGCCUCAGUGAGAGGAGCUGCUGCCGCCUUGGCGUAUCUGCAAUGGACGGUCGGGAGCACUACUCCGGUUUCCUGAUCAAGAGGAAUAAACGGGCGCAUGUGCAGCGCUGACGCCAAUCAUCUGAAGGCCUGCAACUCCUUCCGCUACAAGGGACUGAUUCACUGCAAGACUGCGGGAGUGGAGCAGGCAGCCGAGGACAAGGGUGUGGUGGUGUUCACGAAGAAGAGAUCCGGCCAGCCAAAGCCAGCCACCUUCAUCCUGCAGACCACAUCAACAAGAACUCCUGGGCCACUUUCAGCGGCACCUGGCACGUGAACAGCAAGAACAAGUACCGCCUGGAUCUGCGUGUCUGCCGUCCGCUGAGUCUGCGCAAGCCUUGCGCAGCCAGAAGCCUGUGAUACUGAAGAGGGGGUGGACCAGCACGGAGUCCCAUAACGUCUCCCACCCCAAGCAAUAAAGAUGUCAACCGACUUUUCUCGACGAUGACAACAAAAUAUACAGAAAGGCAGCUGAGUCUUAUUCUGGGCACCGUGGUAAAUUUUCCCAUUAUUUUAAAUAAUUUGCCUAUAGAGUAUUUUAGGUUUUCUAUGUAAAUGAUUAUACUAUGUACAAAAGAGAAUUUUGUUUCUUCUCUUUCAAUACUUAAGUGUAAUUUCUUUUUCUGUUUUACAGCAUUGGCUAGGCCUCCAAUGCAAUAGCACUCUUGUGUAUUCUAAAAUUUAAAGUAAAUUUAUCUAAUAUUUCCCAGUUAGAAUGAUUUCUCUAGAUUUAAAAAAAUAUUCUUCAUGAGGUUAAGAAAGCUCCUUUAUAGUCCUAAUUAUCAUGAAUUAAAAAAAAUCAGGAGUCUUGAAUUUAUCAGAUGCUUUUCCCCUGCAUAUAUUGAGAUGAUCAUUUGGUCUUUAACUUCUAUACUACAUUGAAUUACGUGUAUAAAUUUUUUUUUGUCAUCUUAAACCAUAUUUCUUUUGUGAGAGAAACCCAAUAUGGUUGUUUCUUUAAUAAUUCUUUAAUGGGAUUUUAUUUUCUAAUAUUGUAUUGCUUUUUUUCCCCCCUCGUCUGUUUCUGAGUAAAAUAAGCCUGUAAUUUUUCUUUCUCUGGUAUCGUGGUUGUGAGACAGAGAGCUUUCUCUCUCUGUCUCUCUCACUUAAUGUCUGGAAGAGUUUGUAUAAAAUUCGACUAAUCUGUAUAUUGAAAGUUUUGCAGAACUCCCUUCUUGCCUGUAAACCCUCUGGGGCUAUUUUUUUCCUUGAGAGAAGAUUUUUAACUACUUCCAUUUCUAUAAUGUUUAUAGGGCCAUUUGAGUUUUUUCAUUUUGAAUAGGUCUGUAAGAUACAUUUUUCUAGGAACUUGUCCAUUCAGUAAACUUGAAAAAUUGUUGGCAUGUAUUUGUUGAUGGUAUUUUUUCCCCUUACUUUUCAUGUUCAUUUUAUCUGUAGUUAUACUGUGCUUUAACUUAUAAUACUGUUAAUUUGUGCCUUUUCUACUCUCGGUCAGUCUUAACUAAAGGUGGUUAUUUUGUUAGUGUUAGCUGAGAACUAACCUUUGGCUUUUUAAAUCUUCUCUAUUCUACUCUUGUUUCCUAUUUAAUUAAUUUUAACUCAUGUUUAUUAUCUUUUUUCUAUGUUAUUUGGGAUUACGCUGUUGUUCAUUUUAUAACUUCUUUUUAUUAAACGAUUGGCACCUGA